This is a long non-coding RNA of Lagenorhynchus albirostris (white-beaked dolphin), 1139 nucleotides long. RefSeq lists it as uncharacterized. The transcript has 3 exons. The record is from RefSeq and is a predicted model, not a curated record. Lineage: Eukaryota; Metazoa; Chordata; Mammalia; Artiodactyla; Delphinidae.
GGCACACAUCUUUGGGGAUGGUCAUGAGGCUGGACACAGGGGAAGGUACAUCAUUCCUCUUAGUAUUAUAGGUCUGUCCUUUGCAGCUGGACAAAUAGUUUUGUCAUUCUAGGUCACACUGGGUGAAGAGAUGCUUCCCUUGGCCUCACAGACAAGCUCUGAGGAAGCAAUUUGCAUCUGCUUUUGCCUUUAUAAAGAGCCCGUAAACCAUCUCUCCGGGAUUAGUGAGCCAUCUUUGAGGAGCGUAUUCUGUUCACCUACAGAGAAGCCAGUCUCAGCUGAGUGGAGAUUUACGUUUCCCAGAGGUGCUCCCAGAGGCAGAGCCCUCAGCCGGAGCCAUGAGGAUUCCCACCACUGCCCCAGUGGCCUCACUUCAAGCAGCAACACACAGGAGACAGUGGAACACUGGGAGGAUUAAUAGGGCUAUGGCAGUGUCACCACUGGCUCUCUUAGAGCCUUCCCCUCUUGGUUGCCUGGUGCCACCCCAGACAUCUUUGAGGGACCCAGCGAACUCAAGGUGAAGACCUCAGAGGACCUUCUCCGCAAAACAUGCAGUGGUUCCUGGCCUGGCACAGAGGACAGACCCACAGAUGCAGUGCAGACCCCUCCCCCCAGCAUGAACUUCUCCUAAGUGGACUCUGCAGCAUCUCCAGACCAGACAUAUCCUUGGCAUUGAUACAGAGGUUACAUAAAUCUCCCUGCCCUUGGGGGACUGAGACAGCUUUGACCCUCUCACCCACAGCGGGGUCUGCAGACAAGAUCCUGACAUCACCCUGUUGUUUAGGAGAGACUCUUUUCAUCAGCACAGCAAGCUGUCUCCAUCCCCGGGGCAACUGUACCGUCCCAGGAGUCGGCAUUUCCAGUCUGACCAGGGGCAAGGCAGCAGCCAGUAUUUCCUGGUCCAGGCACUGGUUCACACUGAGUUUACUAGAGAUCAGAGUCCCCUUGUUAGCUGGACUUUGAGCUGUAUUAGUGGAAGCAAUCACUGUCUCUUAACUAAAGCCCCUCUUCAGGGUCAUAAUGUAAUAAUAGCAGCAACAUCUACAGAGCACUUGCCACAUGCCAGACACCAUCCUGAGCCCUUUACACGUAUUCUUCUAAUUCUUUUAUCUCUAAAGAGGAAUAAAUUAAGGCACAGA